UGCAGCGAUAUCUGGGUGUCCGGGCCUGCCCACGCUGUGACCCCAGCACAGAGCCAGCUGCCAGGCUUGGUGGGGCCUCUGGGAGCACGUGGAUAGUGCCAAAAGAGGAGGUGGGAACAGACAGAGUGAGGAAGGAGUGAAUGAGAGGACAGAGAAAGCUGCAGCCCACAGAUCUUCCAUGACAAAGCAGAUGGUCAUAUCCAGAGGAACUGUGGCCUGUGUAGAACCCACGGUAGAGUACAUCUUCCUGGGGGACAGUGGCCCUUGGAGAAGCCAUGCCGGAUUGGAGAGACUGUGUGAGAGGGAACCACGAGGAGAAACUCUGACUGACAGUACUGCUCUCCGUUCCCACUCUGCUGGUUGGGGCAUACAUUGCUUGGUUUCCAGUGAAGUGGAGCCUAGCUAAGCUCCUUCAAUACGUGGACAAGUCUGAAACACAA
Molecule: long non-coding RNA, 440 nt
Filed under: Gallus gallus (chicken)
Lineage: Eukaryota; Metazoa; Chordata; Aves; Galliformes; Phasianidae
Description: long non-coding RNA NONGGAT006813
Source: RNAcentral